Molecule: non-coding RNA, 28 nt
Filed under: Rattus norvegicus (Norway rat)
Lineage: Eukaryota; Metazoa; Chordata; Mammalia; Rodentia; Muridae
Source: RNAcentral
UGUGAUAGAGCAGAGAGAGGAAGACAAA